Nothoprocta perdicaria is the source of this 1881-nucleotide long non-coding RNA. RefSeq lists it as uncharacterized. NCBI's taxonomy places the organism in Eukaryota, Metazoa, Chordata, Aves, Tinamiformes, Tinamidae. The transcript has 2 exons. The record is from RefSeq and is a predicted model, not a curated record.
AAAUGAGAGGAGAAAAAAAAAAGAAUUGGGGAAAAAAAAAGACAACUUUUUGAAACUGGAAUUAAAACCUGAGGUUAUCGAAGCGGAGCUGGCAGUGGCAAAUCCCUAGAGGCAACGGAGCCACCGGCAGCGUCUCCCUGUGCCGGAGCCCGAGGAGCCCCAGCACACUCGUGCCUUUCUCCUCCUCUUCUUCCUCCUCGCUGGCCAUGAGCGUCCCAGUGAGGAUGCGUGGGGCUUCCAUGGGAGUCUAGAUCACAGAAGCGAGUGCCAGGGAGGGGCUAAUGUUUUUUGGGGGGAAUCCUCGCGAUUUUGGGGAAGGCGGAGGGGAUCUUGGGCCAGCGCAGUGCUAACGAGGCCCAGCUGAGCGGCAGCCGAUGCACAAGCUCGGCUUUGUUUCAGGACAGCACAAAGCUGUCAUUGUGCCGGCAAUGCGGCCAUGGCCACAUUAUUCAGCCCAAAAAAAAAUAGAAAAAAAAAAUUAAAAAAAAAAAAUAGUGAGAGAGAGAGAAAAGAAAGAAGCGGGGAGGGCCCAGGAGGCGACCCAACAAGGUGAAGAGGUUUAAAUCAGCUUAGUCCAAAUGCCAAUUAAAACUCAAAGAGGAUUAGGCUUGGGAUCGGCAGAAUAGACGGUCAUUGUAGCCUGGUGAGGGGUCCCCCCUGCUCCGGUGCCACCUCGACCACGCUUGUGGUCCCUCCAUCCACCUUUGCCUCCUGUUUCGGCACGGCGGGAUGCAGCAGUUCAAUUGCGCGGCAGCAGGCCAAGGUGCAGGUUGAAGCUCGUGCGCACUUGGCAGGACUGGAGGUCCAUCUUGGAUUGAUCUAGGAUCUCCCUGGGGUCCAAAUGGUCUUGGAGCUCUCCAAGAGGUGCCCUUGGAUAGGGUCCCUGUGCCAGGAGGAAGAUGUCCCCUGAUCAAGGCUCGUAGCCUGAGCGCAUGGUCAGCAACGGUGUGUGGAGGAUGCUGGUGAGAAGGCCAAUGUUGGGUCCCAAGGGUCUGCCCAGGAGCUCGGGGCAGAUCCAUCCCCCCCUUCCCUUGUAGUCCCCUUGAAGAACUUGCAGCUGGACUGCCACCUUGGAUGCCAAUGGAGAGCUUCCUCUGGAUCCGCUCGUGCUGAGCAUUGCAGGGAAGUACACGGGACAUCCCAAGGGCUUCCCUUCCAGCACAGGAACAUCCCAAGAGGACUUCUGCCACCAGGACCACCUGGGGACUACCUUUCAGUGCUUUCCAUUCCGUCCCACACCUCGAUUUGGGGUCUCGAAGGUGAAACUGGAGACACGAGUGAGGACGACGCGGGUCCUUGCCCAUGGGAACUCGGAAACUCAUGCUGCUGUAGCUUGCCCUGGCUGUGAGCAUCCCUUGACACGCACCAGCGACCAGGUACCUCCUGGAAUGGACAUUUUGUACUGAUAUGGUGACUUUUAUAGCCUCAAAGCAUCUUCAUAUCGCACUGGCAAUGUGAAAAUUGACAAUUUUCCACUAACUUUGAGGUUUCUACGUCCUUGUGGGUGGAGAGGUGCCAAGAGUGCCCAGGUACAAGUCAAGUGCGCGGAAGUUGUCCAAGGGACAUUAGGAGCUAAUCUGGGCGACACUUUCCCAUAUCCCUCGCCUCGGUGCAGGUUCCUGGAGUUUUGAUAUUAACUCUAUUGAUGUUGUUUGGGUUGACAGCUCCAUCCGAGUCAUGUCUCCCUUGGACCAUUCUGUUAAGGAAGCCCAAGCGCAUCUGGGAUCAGCUGGGAAUUCUGGAUUUGCUCGGAAUGGAGGGGAAAACAAAAACAUAAAAGGCCUUUUGGCUGAAGAAGGAGGAAGCAUCUCACCUCCAGCAGCAGGAGCCAUUUAUCCCUGUCUCCUGGCACGCUCAACGUAGAGCGAGCUGCAGCGUGCG